This 1637-nucleotide long non-coding RNA is filed under the name Carassius auratus (goldfish). RNAcentral describes it as "lncRNA (ENSCARG00000009203.1)". The record is from RNAcentral. Lineage: Eukaryota; Metazoa; Chordata; Actinopteri; Cypriniformes; Cyprinidae.
AUGAUUGUUAGGAAAGCGUCGAGUAGAAAAAGCACUGUGCGCAACGUGACGCCACUGAGAGCUGCCCUGUCCUACAAUUUUCAAAGGCACGGGGCUAAACGCAGUCGAAGCGCUCACCGAGGUCGCCAGCUUUCUAAGUUAAAACCGAUUGGACACAACAAAGACAGUUUCAGAGUUGUAAAGGCCGGUGGAAGAUGUCUGAAUGGCCAGUCGCUGGUUUCCGGGAGCAGGAGAGCUCAUGCUGAGGCCACUGCCUCCGAGGACUUCAGCCAGGACUCCUCAAGUAUAACGAUGCCCUCUGGGGUUUCCAGCUUCUUGCUGGAGUGUUUAGAUGUUGAUUCUCCAGCUUCAAACACGGACACGACGCUCUCAUCCAUCGAGGAGUUUCGCAGAGCUGACAAUAAUGACGAGGUGUUACUGGGUGAAGAUGGGAUGAUGAACACGGUGAAGAACUCAACUCUUCUCGAUCACAGUCAUGCGCAGGAUCUAGCGCUGCAGCAGCCGCCAAACCUCUCCUCCAUUCUUGAGCUAUCGAUAAACCCUGCUGAAGAAAAAUCGUUUUCUUUGUCACCCAUGUGCCUCUCUCCUUUACCGGUGCCCUCUGAAACAUCAGAUAUUGCAUCAGGAUGUGUGUUAGAAUCCGCUAACGAGAGAACGCCUGUAAAUACUAGGGUUUUAGUUCUUCCCCCUGUUGUGAAAAAGUGUUUUACAGAAAAGGAACAACCAGUGAAAUGCAGAAAAGUGACGUUCAGCGAUAUAGUGAGCAUUCGAAACGUUUCAAGCCAUAAACGUGGUAAGGCAGACCAGCAGGAUUGUGGAGGAAAGCUGGUUAAAGCGAGCGGAAGAGUGUCAGCGAGAUCCAGAGACGUUUCCUCGAGGACUGGGAAGUUUUUUGACUUUUCAGAUGAGCAUGAGAGAGAAGCCUUUUUCCAGAGACUCAAACAAACACACGUGUUCAAGUUUCCAGCCAAACCGAUCAUCUCAAUCUGAGAGGACUUAAGUUGAAACAAGCAAAACAAUAUCCCUUCUCUUGCUUUUUCAUAUCUGACCAGCAGAGGACAUCCAACACUUCUUCAACGUGGUUGCUUUACAGUUCUACAAAUAUCUGAAUUGAAGUGAAUGGCCAUGGAGUGUUUUUAAGAGCACGUGAGACUCUUUAUUAAACACUAGAGCUAAAAAGUAUACAAUAAUAUUAGAACAUACCUAUGUAAAAUGAAGUUCAAAUUGAUUAUGUACUUAAUGGAUGAUCUUAGCGCGGAAUCAUCAAAAUGAGAAAAACAAUGCCUUGCGGUGCUCGUGGAACAGGUUUUUUACAUGCAUUAGAGAACCUUACACAUCAAAAUGAUAUUAGAUGUUUGUAUAAAAAAUGAAUAAAUAUUAAAAACACGAAUGCAGAACUUCCUUAAUGUGAAAUUGCUCAUUCUUUUAGUUUCUCUGUGUAUCACCAAGCAUAAAAAUAAUUAAAUGCCCGUGAUUAAAUGCAUCUAUCUUAAUUUUAACCCCAACAAAACAUAAACACAGACGUUCUGACCACGUGGUCUAUGAUCUAUAAUAUCAACCAAUCGGGAAGGCGGAGGGGAGCGAAGCGAAUUAUCGACCAAUCAGAGAGCAGCGAUGUUGCCAAGCAGCUCGUUUGA